Molecule: transfer RNA, 73 nt
Filed under: Camelus ferus (Wild Bactrian camel)
Lineage: Eukaryota; Metazoa; Chordata; Mammalia; Artiodactyla; Camelidae
Rfam family: tRNA
About the family: Transfer RNA (tRNA) molecules are approximately 80 nucleotides in length. Their secondary structure includes four short double-helical elements and three loops (D, anti-codon, and T loops). Further hydrogen bonds mediate the characteristic L-shaped molecular structure. tRNAs have two regions of fundamental functional importance: the anti-codon, which is responsible for specific mRNA codon recognition, and the 3' end, to which the tRNAs corresponding amino acid is attached (by aminoacyl-tRNA synthetases). tRNAs cope with the degeneracy of the genetic code in two manners: having more than one tRNA (with a specific anti-codon) for a particular amino acid; and 'wobble' base-pairing, i.e. permitting non-standard base-pairing at the 3rd anti-codon position.
Source: Rfam by way of RNAcentral
GAGGGUAUAGCUCAACUGGUGGAGUGCGUGCUUGGUGUGCAUGAGGCCCUGGGUUCAAUCCCCUGUACCUCCA